This 253-nucleotide ribosomal RNA is filed under the name uncultured bacterium. Its description in RNAcentral is "partial 16S ribosomal RNA". It matches the Rfam family "Bacterial small subunit ribosomal RNA", at positions 524 to 776 of the family's 1533-position model. The record is from RNAcentral.
UACGUAGGGUGCGAGCGUUAAUCGGAAUUACUGGGCGUAAAGCGUGCGCAGGCGGUUUUGUAAGCCAGAUGUGAAAUCCCCGGGCUCAACCUGGGAAUGGCAUUUGGGACUGCAAAGCUGGAGUGCGGCAGAGGGGACUGGAAUUCCUGGUGUAGCAGUGAAAUGCGUAGAGAUCGGGAGGAAUACCGAUGGCGAAGGCAGGUCCCUGGGUUGACACUGACGCUCAUGCACGAAAGCGUGGGGAGCAAACAGG